RNAcentral lists this long non-coding RNA (263 nucleotides) under Trifolium pratense (red clover). RNAcentral describes it as "long non-coding RNA (TPRA_LNC001177)". Lineage: Eukaryota; Viridiplantae; Streptophyta; Magnoliopsida; Fabales; Fabaceae. The record is from RNAcentral.
CACUAGAGUGAGAAAGGAGUAGGAUGUAAGUAGAUCCUAGUGUGUGUUGUUAUAUGUUUGUUUAUAACAUGUGGUAGAUUGAUUACUAGUACUUAGUGUGGUUCUUUAAUUGAACUAGGUGAAUGUAUUCUCAUGAUGAGAACUUGUUUGAGAACAUGCUAUGUUUUAUACAUGUUUGAGUAGAUGUUGUAAGUAUGCAAGCAAAUGAAAUGUAAUGCAUGUACUUGACUCGAUGUCUUGUGUACAUGGAUGUUUUGUUGUCU